This 403-nucleotide ribosomal RNA is filed under the name Verrucomicrobiota bacterium. Its description in RNAcentral is "Verrucomicrobia bacterium partial 16S ribosomal RNA". It matches the Rfam family "Bacterial small subunit ribosomal RNA", at positions 355 to 776 of the family's 1533-position model. The record is from RNAcentral. Lineage: Bacteria; Pseudomonadati; Verrucomicrobiota.
UGGGGAAUAUUGCACAAUGGGGGAAACCCUGAUGCAGCGACGCCGCGUGAGCGAAGAAGGUUUUCGAAUCGUAAAGCUCUGUCCUAUGAGAAGAUAAUGACGGUAUCAUAGGAGGAAGCCCCGGCUAACUACGUGCCAGCAGCCGCGGUAAUACGUAGGGGGCUAGCGUUGUCCGGAAUCACUGGGCGUAAAGGGUUCGCAGGCGGAAAUGCAAGUCAGGUGUAAAAGGCAGUAGCUUAACUACUGUAAGCAUUUGAAACUGCAUAUCUUGAGAAGAGUAGAGGUAAGUGGAAUUUUUAGUGUAGCGGUGAAAUGCGUAGAUAUUAAAAAGAAUACCGGUGGCGAAGGCGACUUACUGGGCUCAUUCUGACGCUGAGGAACGAAAGCGUGGGUAGCAAACAGG